UUUUUUAAGUCUCAACUUAUAAGUCAUAAGUCCCUACCUGUUUGUUUACAGGGACUUAUAAGUCCCGAGUCCCUACCUGUUUGUUUACACGGACUUAUAAGUCCAUGUUGCACCUAAUAAUACACUUGUUCACAUGGAUCGUCAUCAGCCAACGCGUACGACACACAGGAUAAGCACCGCUGCAACGAGGCUCGGGAGAGGGCCUGUCCGGCGAUUGGAGGCACCGCUGCAA
RNAcentral lists this long non-coding RNA (232 nucleotides) under Hordeum vulgare. RNAcentral describes it as "long non-coding RNA (HVUL_LNC000725)". The record is from RNAcentral. Lineage: Eukaryota; Viridiplantae; Streptophyta; Magnoliopsida; Poales; Poaceae.